This 461-nucleotide long non-coding RNA is filed under the name Zonotrichia albicollis (white-throated sparrow). RNAcentral's name for it is "lncRNA (ENSZALG00000011527.1)". Lineage: Eukaryota; Metazoa; Chordata; Aves; Passeriformes; Passerellidae. The record is from RNAcentral.
CGGGAGGUCCCCAGUCUGAAACUGGAGCUGCUAAAAUGAAGUAAAAGGUCCAGACUUUGCUCUAUUUCUUGCUGUCUGCCACCACUUGCCAUUGCUCCAGCUGGAUGUCACAGGAAGCAGCUAUAUUUUCUUCUCCUUCUCCCUAGAUGUGGGCAUAACCAAGGUGGUGGUGAUGAAAACAUCUCUGAGGAGGACUAAGGGAGCAUAAGGAAGCUUCCAGCCUCUCUGCAUAACAGGAGUGCCCCAUUUCUAGAAUGUGGUGGAAACAAGCAUGGAAAGAAAAGAAAGAAAAUGGGACUACCACACAGCUGUUCACAUCUCUGCCUUGGCUUUGUGUGUGAAACCUUCAGUUCUGUGAGAAUCAUGGGCUGAUAUCACAUCUAGGCUGGGACCUUCAAAAGGGACUUCAAGAACAGAAAGAAGACAGGCUUGCAAUAAAAGACCACGUUCAGGGAAUAUCA